Molecule: non-coding RNA, 460 nt
Organism: Leptonychotes weddellii (Weddell seal)
Lineage: Eukaryota; Metazoa; Chordata; Mammalia; Carnivora; Phocidae
Source: RefSeq, a predicted model, not a curated record
CCCUCCUCUUCGGCCCUCCGUGGCCCCUGGCCUCGCUCUCCACAGUCCCCCCGGCUCAGAUUCGGUCCGGAGACUCCUGCCUGCCUCUCUCCUCCCCGAGUUGAUCCCGAGACUAAAUAUAAUUCCAACCCGUGAUCGAUUCCUGGGGCGCUGUCUCCUUUCGGUGCUGGGUCGAUCUGCGCGUCUCGGUAACUCCGGGCUGGCUCCCACUUCACCCAAGGGCCUUUAGCGCCGGGUCACUAGCGACCGCCCUCCACGCAAGCUGGUUGUAUUUUCUCCUAUCUCUCCCUUCUGCUCGCUAGCCUGGACUGUAAAUGGGGACAGGACCCUCCUGGAAGAGGAAUAUGGUGAAAAAGGACAGAUAUCCACAUGGAACGGAGAGGAUGGGCUUCAGCAGAAUGUUGAGCAACCAGUACCAUUAAUGAAGUGGGAGCCCAGACCCAGCAGUGGCCUGCAGCCU